AGACUUCCUACAUAAAUAAAUGUUGCCCUGAAGCACUUGUAGUCCAGUUGUUACUGCUUUGUGCUAGUGGUGAAGGAUCCCAAAGAGAAUGGAAUAUAAGCCCUGUCCGUCGUGUGGGAGCCCAGCAGAUGGAGCAGUGUUCCUGUGCAUGAGGAGGUGUGGGGCCGCAUCCAGAGCUGCGCUGUGCAGUCGAGCCGAUCUGCCCCAGUGCAUCUAUGAAGCACGGAAUAAAAGUGAUGGAACUGAGCUCUGCUGCUGUGCAAGCACAGCCCGGCCAGGUUACGUGCUGAGGGCUCUGCCUGCCCUUAACUACCUGCCGUGAGUCUCAGCUGGUGCACUCAGGUAAG
Non-coding RNA from Phasianus colchicus (ring-necked pheasant), 347 nucleotides. The record is from RefSeq and is a predicted model, not a curated record. Lineage: Eukaryota; Metazoa; Chordata; Aves; Galliformes; Phasianidae.